This 73-nucleotide transfer RNA is filed under the name Dermacentor andersoni. Its description in RNAcentral is "transfer RNA methionine (anticodon CAU)". It matches the Rfam family "tRNA". From Rfam's summary of the family: Transfer RNA (tRNA) molecules are approximately 80 nucleotides in length. The record is from RNAcentral. Lineage: Eukaryota; Metazoa; Arthropoda; Arachnida; Ixodida; Ixodidae.
GCCUCGGUAACGCAGUAGGCAGCGCGUCAGUCUCAUAAUCUGAAGGUCGUGAGUUCGAUCCUCACUCGGGGCA